This is a non-coding RNA of Kogia breviceps (pygmy sperm whale), 505 nucleotides long. The record is from RefSeq and is a predicted model, not a curated record. Lineage: Eukaryota; Metazoa; Chordata; Mammalia; Artiodactyla; Physeteridae.
CUCUCCUCUCGCAGCGGGAGCGUGACGCGGCGUGGGGACAGGGACGAGGGGAUGCGCCUGCGCAGGACGUAGUCCUUCGGGUGAGGGCGGGAGCGUUGAGCUCCGCGCCAGCGGGCUGGAAGUCGUUCCCGAGAAUGGGAGGUCUGUGGCUUUCGGGCACUCCGGAGAGUGUGUCUUGGUGUGUUCCUCUGUGGGUUAAUCCUGUAUGGGACUCUCUGCACUUCCUGGACUUGGGUGACUGUUUCCUUUCCCAGGGACUUCCCUGGUGGCGCAGUGGUUAAGAAUCCGCCUGCCAAUGCAGGGGACACGGGUUUGAGCCCUGAUCCGGGAAGACCCCACAUGCUGUGGAGCAACUAAGCCCAUGCACCACAACUACUGAGCCUGUGCUCUAGAGCCUGCAAGCCACAACUACUGAGCCCACGUGCCACAACUACUGAAGCCCACGCCGCCUAGAGCCUGUGCUCUGCAAGAGAAGCCACUGCACUGAGAAGCCCGCGCACCGCAA